GCACUUUUUAUUCGCUUGUAUGGAGAUGACCCUCGCCUCGUCCUUAUCACCCAGAUCAUUUGGCUUCCAUACUACUUUUAUCAAAAACAUUGAAAACCCUAGCUAUAGUUCCUUUUGCAGAUGAUGAGGUAAUGGAGGUAGACGAUGUUCUUCUCGAUCUUGUUACCAACAAUUUAUAUUCAAUAACAUAUAGAGAAUGAGAAAUCAUGUGUAUGGCACGCUACUGAUUACUCUGAUGGUGAAUUGAAAGAACAGUUGUUUUGUGUUCGAUUUGCAUCCACCGAGAUACCUGAAUACUACCUAAGGUUGCGCAUCAAAGUUUGGGGUACUGGUACAUUCUUUGGUGCCGGUGUAUCUUAUUUGCAAAGAAAGCUAGAUGCAGGAAGACAUAAUCAUACCUCCACUAGCUCUUGUCUGCAGGAUACUGGGAUUACUCGACAUCUCCCUUACGUAUUGCUUUGUGAGGAACUGAAGGGAGCUGUUGCAAGUACUUUUGUUGCUUUUACCACGCCACCCAGCAAUGCCGAAUAUAACUGCCUCGUUAAUGAAAUAAUGGAUCCAAGUGGGAUGUUAUACGAUGUAUAUGGAGUACUUUGGAGAUGUUUCACUAGGUCGAUUAGAUGGCCAAAAGCUUCUGUAAUCCUAUAGGAUAGACCUAACUAGAUUGAAUGUUUCAGUUCAAUUUUUUAAGUGUGAUUUUGAGUUGUAAAUGCAAAAUGAAUUUUUCCUUUUUUUGGUUGUAAUGUAACACUGGAUUAUCUUUUAAAUGCAAUGUAUAUCUGAUUUCAGAUUCAGUUAUUCUAUUUCA
RNA transcript from Papaver somniferum (opium poppy), 808 nucleotides. RefSeq lists it as uncharacterized. Lineage: Eukaryota; Viridiplantae; Streptophyta; Magnoliopsida; Ranunculales; Papaveraceae. The transcript has 4 exons. The record is from RefSeq and is a predicted model, not a curated record.